GAUGAACGCUAGCGGCAGGCUUAACACAUGCAAGUCGAGGGGCAGCGCGAUGUAGCAAUACAUUGGCGGCGACCGGCGCACGGGUGCGUAACACGUAUGGAACUUACCCUUUACUGGGAGAUAGCCCGGAGAAAUCCGGAUUAAUAUCCCAUAAUAAACGAAGUGGCAUCACUUUGUUUUGAAAGCUCCGGCGGUAAAGGAUGGCCAUGCGCACGAUUAGCUAGUAGGUGAGGUAACGGCUCACCUAGGCUACGAUCGUUAGGGGGCCUGAGAGGGUUAUCCCCCACACUGGUACUGAGACACGGACCAGACUCCUACGGGAGGCAGCAGUGAGGAAUAUUGCGCAAUGGAGGCAACUCUGACGCAGCCAUGCCGCGUGCAGGAAGAAGGCGCUACGCGUUGUAAACUGCUUUUGUACGGGAAGAAACACCCCCUCGUGAGGGGGCUUGACGGUACCGUAAGAAUAAGGAUCGGCUAACUCCGUGCCAGCAGCCGCGGU
This 499-nucleotide ribosomal RNA is filed under the name uncultured bacterium. RNAcentral's name for it is "bacterial SSU rRNA". It matches the Rfam family "Bacterial small subunit ribosomal RNA", at positions 28 to 521 of the family's 1533-position model. The record is from RNAcentral.